AGAAAGUGGAGAAAAGAAACCACAAAAAAACUGGGUGUAUUCCGAAAGACCAUAAGAGUAGGAACAAAC
RNAcentral lists this non-coding RNA (69 nucleotides) under unclassified sequences. Its description in RNAcentral is "DUF805 RNA". It matches the Rfam family "DUF805 RNA". The record is from RNAcentral.